CCUCUGAUACCAGCCUGUGGCUAUACCACCAGGGCUAUGGCCUUGUCUGCUCUCAGAAGCUAAGCAGGCUUGGGGCUGGGGGGCAUUUGAUGGGAGAUGCUCUAGAGCCCAAGCUGCAUGAGGU
RNAcentral lists this ribosomal RNA (124 nucleotides) under Gopherus agassizii (Agassiz's desert tortoise). The record is from RNAcentral. Lineage: Eukaryota; Metazoa; Chordata; Testudines; Testudinidae.